AACGAACGCUGGCGGUGUGCUUAACACAUGCAAGUCGAACGAGAAAGUUUCCUUCGGGAAGCUAGUAAAGUGGCGCAAGGGUGAGUAACACGUGAAUAAUCUGCCCUCGAGAUCGGGAUAACCUGAGGAAACUUAGGCUAAUACCGGAUAAGACCACAUUUCAUAUGGAAUGUGGGAAAAGGAGUCUCAAUCUUCACUCGAGGAUGAGUUCGCGGACCAUUAGCUUGUUGGUGAGAUAAAAGCUCACCAAGGCAACGAUGGUUAGCGGCCUGAGAGGCGAUCGGCCACACUGGAACUGAGACACGGUCCAGACUCCUACGGGAGGCAGCAGUGGGGAAUAUUGCGCAAUGGGCGAAAAGCCUGACGCAGCAAACACCCGUGUGAGCGAAUG
This 391-nucleotide ribosomal RNA is filed under the name uncultured Nitrospina sp. RNAcentral's name for it is "bacterial SSU rRNA". It matches the Rfam family "Bacterial small subunit ribosomal RNA", at positions 29 to 411 of the family's 1533-position model. The record is from RNAcentral. Lineage: Bacteria; Pseudomonadati; Nitrospinota; Nitrospinia; Nitrospinales; Nitrospinaceae.